AAAUCUAAGCCCUGGAUUACUUGGUUGAUGAAGAAAGUAGUCAACUUUUAGACUUGAUGUGAAUUGCAGGACACACUGAACACUGAUUUUUCAAUUGAAAAUUGCAGUUUAAUCCCAUUUGGGAGUAU
RNAcentral lists this ribosomal RNA (128 nucleotides) under Stegodyphus mimosarum. Its description in RNAcentral is "5.8S ribosomal RNA". It matches the Rfam family "5.8S ribosomal RNA". Rfam says of the family: 5.8S ribosomal RNA (5.8S rRNA) is a component of the large subunit of the eukaryotic ribosome. It is transcribed by RNA polymerase I as part of the 45S precursor that also contains 18S and 28S rRNA. Lineage: Eukaryota; Metazoa; Arthropoda; Arachnida; Araneae; Eresidae. The record is from Rfam by way of RNAcentral.